CCUACGGGUGGCAGCAGUGGGGAAUAUUGCACAAUGGGGGAAACCCUGAUGCAGCGACGCCGCGUGAGUGAAGAAGUAUUUCGGUAUGUAAAGCUCUAUCAGCAGGGAAGAAAGAGCGACCUGUGGGGCGCCAGACGGUACCUGACGAAGAAGCCCCGGCUAACUACGUGCCAGCAGCCGCGGUAAUACGUAGGGGGCAAGCGUUAUCCGGAUUUACUGGGUGUAAAGGGAGCGUAGACGGCAGCACAAGUCUGAAGGGAAAUGCCGGGGCUUAACCCCGGAACUGCUUUGGAAACGGUGCAGCUUGAGUGCCGGUGAGGUAAGUGGAAUUCCUAGUGUAGCGGUGAACUGCGUAGAUAUUAGGAGGAACACCAGUGGCGAAGGCGGCUUACUGGACUGUAACUGACGUUGCGGCUCGAACGCGUGGGGAGCAAACAGGAUUAGAUACCCGGGUAGUC
This 458-nucleotide ribosomal RNA is filed under the name uncultured bacterium. Its description in RNAcentral is "partial 16S ribosomal RNA". It matches the Rfam family "Bacterial small subunit ribosomal RNA", at positions 338 to 795 of the family's 1533-position model. The record is from RNAcentral.